CUUGAUGGUGGCUGUGCGCAUGGCGCCUUCGGGUGCGCCGGGAUUUGGUGGGGUUGCCCGGUCUACUAACUUGCGUACAGCCGCCACCCUU
Molecule: non-coding RNA, 91 nt
Filed under: Pseudomonas moraviensis
Lineage: Bacteria; Pseudomonadati; Pseudomonadota; Gammaproteobacteria; Pseudomonadales; Pseudomonadaceae
Source: RNAcentral